This 160-nucleotide ribosomal RNA is filed under the name Sinipta dalmani. RNAcentral describes it as "partial 16S ribosomal RNA". The record is from RNAcentral. Lineage: Eukaryota; Metazoa; Arthropoda; Insecta; Orthoptera; Acrididae.
UUUAAUCAUUAAUUUAUGUUUNGUUGAUCCAUAACUUAUGAUCAUAAGAUUAAGUUACCUUAGGGAUAACAGCGUAAUUGUUUUAGAGAGCUCAUAUCGAUAAAUCAGAUUGCGAAANUCGAUGUUGGAUUAAGAUAAGUUUUGGGUGCAGUAGCUCGCU